UCGUUGUUUGUCUCAAGAAGUUCCACUCGAAUUUUGCUAUCUCACAGUGCGGUUUUGAGUUCUUCUAUUUUCCCUUUCAACUCUUCGAUCCUGCUCAGACUAGCCUUUAGCUUAAUUAUCGAAUUAUGGCUAUGAUGUUGCUGAAGUAAUCUUUCCAAUUCAGCCACCUGAGCUCGUAACUUCUCCUUUUCAUUUUGGGUUUCUAACAAACUCUUCUUCAGAGUGUCCUCUCGUACUCGGGCAUCUUGAAAUCUUUUCUCCCAAUGGUUGGCUCUAGUAUUUUCCUCUUUAAUCUCUUGACGCCAUUGUUCCGACGUUUUACCUAAUCCGGCAGUUUUUAUUGUUAUACGAAGCUUCUUGUAAUCGGUUUUUAGACUAUCUAAAUCUUC
This 389-nucleotide long non-coding RNA is filed under the name Gossypium barbadense (sea-island cotton). RNAcentral's name for it is "long non-coding RNA (GBAR_LNC001978)". Lineage: Eukaryota; Viridiplantae; Streptophyta; Magnoliopsida; Malvales; Malvaceae. The record is from RNAcentral.